ACCAUCAUUUAUUUAAUAAUUCUUUUCACCUCAGCCAAGAAAAAUGAUUACAUCUGUUCAAAUUAAUAAAAAUGUUUAUUUAAAAGAAGCAGUAGCAGGAAGAUUAAAUCGCCUGGUUGUUUCCUCAUCCUGAUGGCGGUAAGUCGGUCUCAUUACAUUUGCAUUGUGUAGUCAUCUGCUGAGUCAAACUCCUCUGUUGUGAUUUUUUUUAGUUCAGUACCUUGGUGUCUUCCUUGGGACGUUCUUUUGGGAACCCUGCAGUGUUUUCAAGGCUGUGCCAGAAACCAAAUGGCUAAAGGGGGAAAAAAAAGCAGGAAUUUAAAUAGUUCAA
Long non-coding RNA from Scomber scombrus (Atlantic mackerel), 331 nucleotides. RefSeq lists it as uncharacterized. NCBI's taxonomy places the organism in Eukaryota, Metazoa, Chordata, Actinopteri, Scombriformes, Scombridae. The transcript has 3 exons. The record is from RefSeq and is a predicted model, not a curated record.